UAUGUUGUCAUGUUAUCAACCUUCUGCCAUAUUUAACCAAUUAUUCGUGCCGCAUCCACCUGUUUUAGAGUUCAGAUAUUCUAUUUGAGGUGUCCACAGGAAAAUUUGCAAAAUGACAAUUUCCUUGUAUCUGUGUACUGAUUCCCUUCAAAUGCAUAAGAGAAGUAGUAACAGUUCAUGACCCUCAAAUGUUGAAAGUCACAAGAGAGAGCCUUGAUGAUGUUCAUAUUCAACGCCCUACCGACAGUUGGAUCUAAAACCUCUGAUGAUUAUUUCUUGCUUGAAACGUAAAUGCCAGAUAUUAUGGCCACUCCUGCAACUGCAACUCCAAGGGUUGUCACAAUCUUCGCAACAGAAAUGAGAGGUUUGGG
RNAcentral lists this long non-coding RNA (371 nucleotides) under Solanum tuberosum (potato). RNAcentral's name for it is "long non-coding RNA (STUB_LNC011205)". The record is from RNAcentral. Lineage: Eukaryota; Viridiplantae; Streptophyta; Magnoliopsida; Solanales; Solanaceae.